This 518-nucleotide long non-coding RNA is filed under the name Malus domestica (apple). RNAcentral's name for it is "long non-coding RNA (MDOM_LNC017369)". Lineage: Eukaryota; Viridiplantae; Streptophyta; Magnoliopsida; Rosales; Rosaceae. The record is from RNAcentral.
CCGGUUCCACCACGUCGAGUUCUGGUGCACCGACGCCACCAACGCCGCCCUCCGAUUCUCCUGGGGACUCGGCAUGCCCAUGGUAGCUAAGUCCGACCUCUCCACCGGCAAUCAAACCCAUGCCUCCUACCUUCUCCGCUCCGGCGACCUCAAUUUCCUCUUCACCGCCCCGUACUCCCCCACCCUGACCCGAACCGCCGACCCGGCCCGGCCCAGCAACUCCAGCGCCUCCAUCCCCACCUUCGACCACACCGCCUCCCGCGCCUUCUCUGCCACCCACGGCCUCGGCGUCCGCGCCGUCGCCAUCCAAGUCGAAGACGCCGUCUCCGCCUUCACCACCAGCGUCGCCCACGGCGCCAAACCCUCGGCCGCCCCCAUCCUCCUCGACAACCGCGUCACCAUCGCGGAAGUCCAACUCUACGGCGACGUUGUUUUGCGGUACGUCAGCUACUCGGACCACAACCACCUCACAGAUCCGGACCCCAACCUCUGGUUCCUCCCCGGAUUCGAACCCCUAC